CAGCGCUGCAUCCCGCGCCCCAUGUGUAUCGCGAGCGGUUCAAGCUAAUUUCGACCAUCGGUCCUACAGUAAGGUCCGCUGCAGGCAACUUUACAUUCGACAAACAUUAUUUGGGUUUGGUACAGCAGUAGUGUGGCAGUAAUGUCUAGGGAUCGAGCCGCACAAUUAAGUUUGUUUUUUAGUGUACAUUAUUUUUCCAGAUACAAAGUACCUACCCAGUGUUGUGCCCAGUAUAAAGUAUAAUUAUACCAAGUUGCUUCGUUAUCAGAUGAUGAAUCAAUCGGUAGUUUUUGCAUGAUUCGUGAACAUACAGCUCUCUGUUGUCUCUGCUCACAGACAGACAAAUAUUUUUUAUAUAAAAUGUUUGUGGUUUGUGUAUUUCUAGUAACACUCCUACAAUGUACAGAAUUAACACUUGUACGUUAUAUGUAUUGUAUAGAUUAUACAAGUAUUGUUUUCUAGCAGGUCCUAGUGACAGUUUGUUUCCAACCGAGAAACAAUACAACUUGUACCUAAAUAGGUCCCCACCUAACCAAUAAAUACCUUACAUAAAGUAUAUGUUUGGCAGCAAUCAGUAACGCUGCGAUGAUAAUGCUUUCAUUUCUACAAGGUUCGUACGUCGUACGUGAUCCAAUUUCCGAAUUCUUGAUACUUGGGCAAGUUAUCUACGAUAUUGUUGUGGACGCGUGGCGCGAGGGCUUAUCUACAGAUAGUAGCGGCUGAAGCAGUCACUCCAGCAGUGUUGUAGUCGCGCCGCGCGUGCACCGCUCUCAUACAAGUCGUUGUUUGAUUACGUACCAGUGGUUAGGCUGUAAGUCAAUGUGAGCACUACAGGGUACAGGGAAAUUAGAUUAAACACAAAUAAGUCAUCGAUGAUUGGAAACGGCGCGCUAUCUGUGUUCGGCGAUGAUGCAUUGUUCGAUGAUUAAUGGUUAUAUAUACGAUAGUACCAAGAAAAUAGAACAACAAGUGUCGAGCGGCGUGUCGAGCGGCCCGCGGAGAUAUCAGUGAUAAGAUAAGCUGCGAGCGUGCUGUCGCCAGUCCCGAGCGGCCCCGCACCGAGCUGCAGCAUGUGCCGGCGCGCCGCGCCCGUGCUGCUGGCGCACGUCAACCUCCUGCUCACCCUGUACGGCGGCGCGGCGCUGGCCACGGCGGCGCGGCUCAAGUGGGACCCCAGCACGUACCUGGCGCUGCGCGAGCUGUUCCCGGCGGAGUACCGCGCGGCCUGCGCCGUGCUGACGGCGGGCGGCGCGGCGCUGCUGGCGCUGCCGCACCUGGCGGCCGCCGCGGCACACGUCGCGCGCGCACACCGCGCCGCGCUGCUUUACCUGUACGCGGCGCUCAUGGCGACGCUGGUGCUGGGCGAGGUGGCCUUCUGCGUGUGGCUGGCGCUGCAGGUGGCGGCCUGGCAGCAGUCGGAGGCGGCGCGCCAGCUGGCCGAGGCGCUGGAGCUCAGCGACCACCUGCGGCCGCUGCUGGACUACAUGGCGCGCUGGCACCCGCUGCCGCAGCGCGUGGACGAGCUCAUACAGGAGGCGAGCGAGGACGCGCCGCGCAACGCGUACGUGGCGCUGGGGCUGGGCGUGCUGCUGCCGGCGCUGCAGCUGCUGGGCGCCGCGGCCGCGCUGCUGGCGGCGCGCGCCCCCGCGCCCCCCGCGCCGCCGCGCGCUCCGACUCCGACGCCGAGCUAUCGCUGCAGCCGCGCCCGCCCUCCUACAACAGCGGGUGGGCUCGCUGGCGAGGCCGGCGGGCGGGCCACGUGGCCGCCUCUUGUGUUACCUUCGUACUCAAGAUUUAUUAUAGAGAGAAACCGGCGAAGAGAGCUCCCAUCGCCCCCUGUUGAGUGUUUGUGACGUCCGUCCGCAGUGCGUCCGGCUACGGCUACCAGAAGAUGCCGCGCACCGCCUACCGCAACGGCCGCAUCGUCGUGCUGGGCUAGCGGCGCGCCCCCGCGCCCCGCGCCCGCGCCCCCGCCCCCGCGCCGCCACGAGCCUCGCCCCCGAGCUGCGC
Spodoptera frugiperda (fall armyworm) is the source of this 2010-nucleotide RNA transcript. RefSeq lists it as uncharacterized. NCBI's taxonomy places the organism in Eukaryota, Metazoa, Arthropoda, Insecta, Lepidoptera, Noctuidae. The record is from RefSeq and is a predicted model, not a curated record. The transcript has 5 exons.